GAUGAGCGCUGGCGGCGUGCCUAAUACAUGCAAGUCGAGCGAACGGACGAGAAGCUUGCUUCUCUGAUGUUAGCGGCGGACGGGUGAGUAACACGUGGAUAACCUACCUAUAAGACUGGGAUAACUUCGGGAAACCGGAGCUAAUACCGGAUGAUAUUUUGAACCGCAUGGUUCAAAAGUGAAAGACGGUCUUGCUGUCACUUAUAGAUGGAUCCGCGCUGCAUUAGCUAGUUGGUAAGGUAACGGCUUACCAAGGCAACGAUGCAUAGCCGACCUGAGAGGGUGAUCGGCCACACUGGAACUGAGACACGGUCCAGACUCCUACGGGAGGCAGCAGUAGGGAAUCUUCCGCAAUGGGCGAAAGCCUGACGGAGCAACGCCGCGUGAGUGAUGAAGGUCUUCGUAUCGUAAAACUCUGUUAUUAGGGAAGAACAUAUGUGUAAGUAACUGUGCACAUCUUGACGGUACCUAAUCAGAAAGCCACGGCUAACUACGUG
RNAcentral lists this ribosomal RNA (497 nucleotides) under uncultured bacterium. RNAcentral describes it as "partial 16S ribosomal RNA". It matches the Rfam family "Bacterial small subunit ribosomal RNA", at positions 28 to 507 of the family's 1533-position model. The record is from RNAcentral.